This is a long non-coding RNA of Felis catus (domestic cat), 503 nucleotides long. RefSeq lists it as uncharacterized. Lineage: Eukaryota; Metazoa; Chordata; Mammalia; Carnivora; Felidae. The record is from RefSeq and is a predicted model, not a curated record. The transcript is spliced from 3 exons.
UUUUUUUAAUAACUGAUCUAUUUUUGGUUGCCAUAGUUUUUGCCUUUUCCAGAAUGCCACAUAAAUGGAAUCAUAUGGUAUGUCUCCGCUUCUUUCACGCAGCUAAUGCCUUCUUGAUCCAACCAUGCCACCGCGUGUAGUAACCACGGCUCUCUUCUGCUGCCCAGGAGCGGCUCACUGCGUGCGUGUUACCACAGUCUGUCCGUCCAUGCACGAGUUACAGGACAGUUAACAUCUUUGAACACGCUCCUCCGGGGAGGUUCUAACCACUCUGCAGUCUUAUCAUGCCAGAUUCGUCAUACAACCAUAAAAAUGUUGCUGUGGAUGCUGGAUGCAACGACAGAAGGGUGGGAACCUGCCACUACAGCCAGUCCUCAAAAGCAGCACUUUAAAAAAACAGUUUGGGGGGCACCUGACUUUGGCUCAGGUCAUGAUCUCGCAGUUUGUGAAUUUGAGCCCCGCAUCAGGCUCUGUCCUGACAGCUCGGAGCCUGGGGCCUGGUU